RNAcentral lists this long non-coding RNA (1215 nucleotides) under Homo sapiens (human). RNAcentral describes it as "HSALNT0355465". The stretch from base 8 to 139 matches the Rfam family "Small nucleolar RNA SNORA17". Lineage: Eukaryota; Metazoa; Chordata; Mammalia; Primates; Hominidae. The record is from RNAcentral.
ACAGGACACUGCCCCUAGAGGCGUUGCAGCUGUGGCUGCCGUGUCACAUCUGUGUCAUUAGGUGGCAGAGAUUAGAGAGGCUAUGUCUACGCUCAGCGUUCUGCCCCGUGAACGUUUGAAUGUUUGAUAGUCUCACACUCCUGUUUUGUGGACAGGCAUCUGUUUUCCUUCGCUGGUAUCUGGGAGAGAGGGUGGGCCCUGUGAGUGGGCUUUCUAACUCUCGCGCUGGGCUAGGCUGGCCUCUAGGGGUCUGAAGGGAUAGUGGGAAGGUGGAGGGUGCCUUCACCAGGAGCAGCCUUCAUGAGUGAGUUUUAAGAACCUGUGAGGAUCGGUCAGGUCAGGUGAGGUACGCGCUGGAUCAUGCCGUACACCGUGUCAGGAUCACGCAGGACAGGACUGGGGAAGGGUUUGCUGGCGUCUCGGUUAAUAGCAGUAACGGCAGCCGCUUGUGUUCUUGAUUCUUUGCCAAGCAUUCUUGUUAUUUAACACGGGAAGGAGGUGACUUCGCCUGUGAUGGACUUCCAGUGUGAGCACUGGCCAGAGUGACCAGGCUGACCAGCACCAGCCCUGAUCCAGAUGCAGAGGCCAGGAUGUGGGCCCAGCCCUGUGCCAGGAGGCUGGCUGGAAUAAAGGGAUGGGCAGGCUGGCAUGGGGGCAGCCGCUGCCCCUGCCUGGGUGUUGCUGUGUAUUCCUGCCGGCCAGGGGCCACUGCCAGGACCACGCCUCCCUUUUCAUAUCCCGAUUCUUAAGUUCUGCUAUUGUGGUAUUCUGGUGGAGAAAAAAGAACCGCGUGGCUGUUUUUGAACUGCCUGGAACCUAAGACCCUGAAUUCUUUUCCCCCCCAAGGGGAAAAUCUAUAUGGAAAACAUUUAUUUUAAAAUACAGGAUGAAGUGAAUUAAAAGAUUUAAAUGCACAUUUCUUUAAGGAUAAUAUUUCUGUGUUGGCAAAAUUUGAGAGUAAAUUGGUCUUGAAUGGAAUGGAUUGUCUUGACUCACACAUUGCGGAGCAGAGCCCGCCCUGAAGAAAGGUGUUGCUGUGGUGGGAUCUUCCCACGAGGGUCCUUGCCUGUUCUCCUAGGGGAUGGUUGCUGGGUGCCCUGGGCUACUGGGGAGAGCGUACGGGGCUGGAGAAGAUGGCCAUUCCUGGGCUGUUUCCUAGGGAAUGAGUUGUACAUCUCAUGGCUGGAUUUUGUAAAAUCAGUUUUUAAAAUACCG